GACGAACGCUGGCGGCGUGCCUAAUACAUGCAAGUAGAACGCUGAAGAGAGGAGCUUGCUCUUCUUGGAUGAGUUGCGGACGGGUGAGUAACGCGUAGGUAACCUGCCUUGUAGCGGGGGAUAACUAUGGGAAACGAUAGCUAAUACCGCAUAACAAUGGCUGACACAUGUCAUUUAUUUGAAAGGGGCAAUUGCUGCACUACAAGAUGGACCUGUGUUUUAUUAGCUAGUAGGUGAGGUAAUGGCUCACCAAGGCGACGAUACAUAGCCGACCUGAGAGGAUGAGCGGCAACACUGGAACGGAGACACGGUCCAGCCCCCUACGGGAGGCAGCAGGGGGGAAUUUGGGACAAGGGGCGAAAGCCUGACGCAGCCACGCCGGGUGGGUAAAGAAGGUCUGCGGGUUUAAAACCCUUUUUAUUGGGAAAGAAGAGCAGGAGGUUAAAACCUCCACGUUGUGACGGUACCUAAAGAAAAAGCACCGGCUAACUACGUG
This 496-nucleotide ribosomal RNA is filed under the name uncultured bacterium. RNAcentral describes it as "partial 16S ribosomal RNA". It matches the Rfam family "Bacterial small subunit ribosomal RNA", at positions 28 to 507 of the family's 1533-position model. The record is from RNAcentral.